RNAcentral lists this transfer RNA (77 nucleotides) under Pseudomonadota bacterium. Its description in RNAcentral is "Proteobacteria bacterium (groundwater metagenome) tRNA-Asp". It matches the Rfam family "tRNA". Rfam says of the family: Transfer RNA (tRNA) molecules are approximately 80 nucleotides in length. Their secondary structure includes four short double-helical elements and three loops (D, anti-codon, and T loops). The record is from RNAcentral. Lineage: Bacteria; Pseudomonadati; Pseudomonadota.
GGGGGCGUAGCUCAGUUGGUUAGAGCGCCGGCCUGUCACGCCGGAGGCCACCGGUUCGAGCCCGGCCGUCCCCGCCA